RNAcentral lists this ribosomal RNA (509 nucleotides) under uncultured bacterium. RNAcentral describes it as "partial 16S ribosomal RNA". It matches the Rfam family "Bacterial small subunit ribosomal RNA", at positions 28 to 507 of the family's 1533-position model. The record is from RNAcentral.
GACGAACGCUGGCGGCGUGCUUAACACAUGCAAGUCGAACGAAGAGCGACGGAAGCUUGCUUCUAUCAAUCUUAGUGGCGAACGGGUGAGUAACGCGUAAUCAACCUGCCCUUCAGAGGGGGACAACAGUUGAAACGACUGCUAAUACCGCAUACGAUCUAACCUCGGCAUCGAGGAUAGAUGAAAGGUGGCCUCUACAUGUAAGCUAUCACUGAAGGAGGGGAUUGCGUCUGAUUAGCUAGUUGGAGGGGUAACGGCCCACCAAGGCGAUGAUCAGUAGCCGGUCUGAGAGGAUGAACGGCCACAUUGGGACUGAGACACGGCCCAGACUCCUACGGGAGGCAGCAGUGGGGAAUCUUCCGCAAUGGACGAAAGUCUGACGGAGCAACGCCGCGUGAGUGAUGACGGCCUUCGGGUUGUAAAGCUCUGUUAAUCGGGACGAAAGGCCUUCUUGCGAAUAGUGAGAAGGAUUGACGGUACCGGAAUAGAAAGCCACGGCUAACUACGUG